GUUCAUUUAGUUUAGAAGUGGGAAAGUGAAUGUCUGGUUCAGGGAUGGAUUUUGGCCCGGAGAGCGGUGGCGCUGGCAUAAUUUUAACGCCGGCACGGUUUGUGUGGCCAUAUGGGUGAAGGAGUGUGUACUUAAGUGGCUCUUUUACAGGGAUAAGUAAGAGAACGCUUCCAACAAGGUUUGGGAAGCAUAGAGGAUUUGCUUUUGUCGAGUAUGUAAACCAAACAAGAGACGAAAAACGCCCUUCAAGCUCUCUCUAUCAAACACUAAUUUUUAUGGACACAAUCCGGAAAUGGUGAAGGCUCGAUCAAGAAUAAUGGUAUACGAAGGAGGAGUGUUGCAGGUGAAAACAUCUUUGGUUUUAAAAAGUGCGCAUAUGGCCCAAAGUGCAAGCUGUUAACCCCCCUGGGCGAAUGUUUUCCUAUGUAAUCCAUCAUGCUUGAUUACAUAUUUGCGCGGGCUAUUUUAAAAUUUGUUUACACAUGUUAGUAUUUGAAACAUGAUGAAGUACAAGUGUAUGGGUUAGGGACUCUACCAGUUUUUAUUUUUUGAAUUAAGGGUUUAUUAGUUGUGUCAUGAUUGUUUUGUUUAAGGUCCCCAGAUUUAAGUCGUUUUGCUAAUAUCACCAUAUUAUUCUUGAUAUUAGGAUA
This is an RNA transcript of Helianthus annuus (common sunflower), 650 nucleotides long. RefSeq lists it as uncharacterized. The record is from RefSeq and is a predicted model, not a curated record. The transcript is spliced from 3 exons. Lineage: Eukaryota; Viridiplantae; Streptophyta; Magnoliopsida; Asterales; Asteraceae.